Molecule: non-coding RNA, 1370 nt
Organism: Oryctolagus cuniculus (rabbit)
Lineage: Eukaryota; Metazoa; Chordata; Mammalia; Lagomorpha; Leporidae
Source: RefSeq, a predicted model, not a curated record
UCGCCACAUUUGAUCACUGUCUGAGUUGCCACGGGUUCCCCGCACAGCCUCGAGUGCACGCAUCCAUAUUUACAGUUGGAAUGCUUCUCGCAUCCAUGUGGGUCGUUCGCAGCCCACUGCCAGAAUCUGACGGGUUCUCUCUGGGAACGCGUUUGUUGGCGUGCACGCCAGCGAGCGUGCGCCCCCCACCACCGGUUCGCAGGUCUAAGACGACACUGCCUGCGUGCGGAGCGGCUGCGGGAAGACGCCCGGGCGCUCCAAGUCCAGCUCGGGUUACCAGGAAAUCGCCUAGAAUGGCACACAGGAUGCCUCCAUCUGCCACUGCACCCCGGCCCCGCCGAAGCACCAGGCGCUCUUUGUGUGUGAGACACAAGGCAUUGAUUUAAGGACAUGUGGCAUGUCUGUGCAGCUGCCUUCAAGACAUCCUUCUGCUUUCUGAAUGGCUGAAACCAAGGGAGAGACCACCCCGUGACCCAGAGAUGCGGUUUCGCAACAUGCAGAUGGAGGUUCUCAGAAGUCCUCCGCUGGAGCAGCUAAAUAGGACUGAGACAACGCGAUCCCAGAGACAAAGGUCAGCCCUAUUUUAAUCUCUGAGUGAGGCUAUGACUCUGGGACAAGGCCCUUCUUGUCUGAUUUCCUUCUAUUUUCAGUGAUUCACAAGCCGAAAUCUCUUUCAUCUGCCACUGCAGAGCCACAUCCCCCUUUCAGAUUUGUUUGUAAGUUAAAAUAGUUCCCAUCCUCAAUCUCCUUGGAGUGUCUUCUUACAGCCAUAGAAUUCCUCAGGCUGUGAGCCUAGAGGAGUCCCUGGGGAGGCAGAGACCAGCUUGGAAUGCAAACCCUCCCGGGAAGAACCCAGAGUGCAGCAGGAAGUGGGGUUGCUGCUUGCUUGGAUGGUCCCACAGAGGCGGAGAGCCAAUAACCCAGCAGGUUACAGGCGCUUGCUUCUUGAAGAGUUCACCAGAACUCCGGAAGGCUGUAGCAUCUUAUUUGGACAUAUGCUUACCCCGUGCUGAUGGCUAAAGUGAAUUCUUUCCAGUGUGUUAGUCACAGCCCUGAUGUUCUAGUUAUUCAAUGAUGUUAGUGUGAAAGUGGCUCCCUUAGUUUCUUAUCAGCUCAAGUCUCAUGUUCAGUAAUGAUUGGUCCACUUGGAUCACUGGGAACUAGCAUUGGCUUCAUACAUUUUUUUAAGAUUUAUUUUUAUUUAUUUGAAAGGCAGAGUUACAUAGAAAGAGAGGAAGAGAUCGAGAAGGAGAGACUUUAAUCUACUGGUUUUUCACUCCCCAAAUGGCCGUAACGGCCAGGAGUAGGCCAAAUUGAAGAUAGGAGCCUGGGGCUUCUUCCAGGUCUCCCACAUGUAUGUAGAGCCCAAG